Long non-coding RNA from Scaptodrosophila lebanonensis, 280 nucleotides. RefSeq lists it as uncharacterized. Lineage: Eukaryota; Metazoa; Arthropoda; Insecta; Diptera; Drosophilidae. The record is from RefSeq and is a predicted model, not a curated record. The transcript has 2 exons.
AAAGUAGUGUCAAAGUGUUCGCUCAGAACGGUUCAAGAUGGAACUGCUCGUAACAAGCAAACCUAAAGAAAUGUGCAGCCUCACCACAAUCAACCUCGCGCAAACCAAGGGUGUUUGACGGGAAUGAAAAGCUACCCAAACAAGGUCAGCUCUGGUGCGCAUUGGAAGCCAUUGAGGAUCUCAUGACAUAAGAAUGCACUCGUAAUUCUAAACCAGCAUUACUUCCUUUUAAGAACCAAUAUAAUAUGGAGUUCGUUUAUUAAAAAGCAAUAGCUCUGGA